RNAcentral lists this transfer RNA (73 nucleotides) under Marmota monax (woodchuck). RNAcentral describes it as "tRNA.Pro". It matches the Rfam family "tRNA". From Rfam's summary of the family: Transfer RNA (tRNA) molecules are approximately 80 nucleotides in length. Their secondary structure includes four short double-helical elements and three loops (D, anti-codon, and T loops). Further hydrogen bonds mediate the characteristic L-shaped molecular structure. tRNAs have two regions of fundamental functional importance: the anti-codon, which is responsible for specific mRNA codon recognition, and the 3' end, to which the tRNAs corresponding amino acid is attached (by aminoacyl-tRNA synthetases). tRNAs cope with the degeneracy of the genetic code in two manners: having more than one tRNA (with a specific anti-codon) for a particular amino acid; and 'wobble' base-pairing, i.e. permitting non-standard base-pairing at the 3rd anti-codon position. Lineage: Eukaryota; Metazoa; Chordata; Mammalia; Rodentia; Sciuridae. The record is from RNAcentral.
UGUGGAUGUAGCUCAGUGGUAGAGUGUGUGCUUAGGGUGCAUGAUGCCCUGAGUUUGAUCCCCAGAGCUACAA